This 7306-nucleotide long non-coding RNA is filed under the name Coffea arabica (coffee). RNAcentral's name for it is "long non-coding RNA (CARA_LNC001205)". The record is from RNAcentral. Lineage: Eukaryota; Viridiplantae; Streptophyta; Magnoliopsida; Gentianales; Rubiaceae.
CUCCUUGGUGUCUUAAACCAGAAAUUUUCGGUCCUCUAGUGCUCCAAGAAACCGUGAAAAACUCCUCCUUUUGCUAGCUAGAUGAACUCUCCAAGCAACAAGCUAAGUGUAGUUCAAAUUUGGUGUGAAUCUAUGAAGGUUUUGUGCAAGAAUUGAAGAUGAAAAUGGCAACUUUGUGUUGUGUUUUUGCUGCAGAGAAUUCGGCCAAGAGAGAGACUAAGAGAGAGAGUGUUUGGUCCAAAUUUAGCUUCUUAAGGAAGACACAAUGUGUGGUGCAAAUUAUCCCCAAAGUCAACUCUCAUUAAGGCUCGUUUGGCACGUUUUAGGCUCGAUUUUCUCGCGCGUUUGGUUCACUAGUGCACUAAGCCUCUAAUGCAUAUAUAUUCAUGUAAAUAUUCUUCACUCUUAAUUGUCCCGAAAUAAGGGUCUAAAGUCCCUCAAAUGAAGUCGCGCGUGUGAAAACGCGUACCGUCAAAUUUUAACGCUAUAACGCGAAACCUCCGAGAAAUUUUUAUAACGAUUGCACUACUAACUAUCACUUGAGUGUUUAUUCAUAAUAUUACCUAUUUUAGAACCACAGUACAAGUUUCCAGUAUUCCAAACUUAUUGUGUUUCUACGCGGUAAAAUCUCCAAGCACUAUUCACUAUUUUUACUAAACGCACUCCAAGAAAUUAAUUUUUGAAACGAGUCACUUUUAAAAUAUAACGAAGUUAUAUUAUCAUGUAUUUAGGUCUAAUAAGUCUAGAAAAUAUUUCUCGUGGCAAAAAUCCAAUUAAAUAAUUUAUUAAGCCAUAAAUUUAGGUUUAAAUAAAAUAAUAGUUUUUACGAGUCCUCACAUGAGUCGAGUAUUAACUCCUCAAAUCUCCAAUAAUUGUAUCCAUACAUCUUUUGGAAAACUAUCCAACGUGAGUAGUAUAUGCUCACUUAGAACUUAUUCGCCUUUAAUUCUCGAUUAACUUUUCUUAAUCUGCUAUUGUCCGUUCUUAAUUUCCCAGGAUAAUCAUACUUUCGAAUAUAAUAUCACCUCGAAACACUCGUGUUCACUAUUUCUCGCCUAACCAAUCCUUCCGAAAAUUGAAGUUGUUAACAGGACAUUUUAAAAAUAUAAUGAAGACAUUAUUCCAUACGAAUGGAUUUAAAAUGGUCGUAAUAAAUUAUUUGGGGAAAACAGGUGGAUAAAUACUUAAUUAAACCAUUAAUAUUCGAUAAAAUAAGAAAUUUUUCGGGUCUUCACAUCCUCCCCUCCUUAACAGAAUUUCGUCCUCGAAAUUCACACCUGAGGAAAUAUCAUUCCCCUCAUGGUUAAGCCUAUCAGAUCGAUCACCAACUUACGUUCUUCCAACUUAUGCAUGACAGAUUCCAUUCUUUCGACUAGCAAUCAAACCCUUUUUUUUUUUUUAGGCGCUUCAACUUCCGAGUCAUAGAGCAACUUAAUCGGCCUCAUGUCUACCUCAUAUAGGCAAUAUCUUAACUUCUUUAAAGCAAAUAUUGUAGUUAUUUACUCCCAAUCAGGAGUUGGCUACUUCAUCUCGUAAUAUUUUAACUUCCUAGAGGCAUAUACAAACACCUUUUCAUGUUUUAUUAAUAUACAUUCUAAACCAUCAUUUGAGUCAUCUGUAAAAAGCACAAGAUUACCCCCUACACCUAUACACCAAUUAACAUUCUUCAUCUCAAGAUUUUUCCUUAUAUUUAGAACCUCAAAUGGUUUGCCAAGUCUUGCACUCUUACAAAAAUCCUUGAUAAACCAAAGGUAGUAUUCGACUAACUCCGAGAAUUCCAAAUUUCAAUAUGCUUUUCUGGUCGUUUCCUCUUAUACAAUCUUUCAUUUUAGCUGAGUCAAUAAUAAUUCCUUCCUUAGAUACUGUAUAACGUAGAAAGAUUAUUUCUUCCAAUCGAACUCACAGUUAUUGAACUUAACAAAAGUUGGCGUUCUCUCGAGGUUCGUAAAAUUACCAUCAAGUGUCUUUCAUGACUUUCUCAACACUAGAGUAUAUCGAUAUAUCAUCAAUAAAUGCCUCCACUGAUUUGUCCAAAUACGGUUUAACUCCGAUACCUUGGGUCCAUAAAUACUUCUAGUGCAUCUGUCAACUCGAAGGGUAUACCGAAAAUUUUAGAGUGUCCAUGUCUUAAUUUGAAAGUGGUAUUAACCACAUUAGUUCCUAGGGUUCCCAAAUGGGUAAUAUCUCUUCUUUAAAUCCAACUUAAAUAGGAUCACGGCUCCUUACAAAUUAUUGAAUUCUUAUCCAUGUAAGAAAAAUGGUGGUUGCUCUUAAUGGUCACAUCGCUCCAGACUCCAUAAUCUAUCAAUACAUAGCUUCUAGCCUUCAUUCCAAAUACGAUAUCUAGUCCUUAAUCGUUAUGCACAUUGAAUCCAUUAAUUAUUUCCUUUCACUAACUCACAUCCACCGAUUUUAAUAUCUCAAAUUGGCAUUUCAAUCAUUGAAUUCCAUUUCAACACUAAGUCCUCACUUCGAUCCCGAUCUCUAGUCACUAUCAAGACCUCAGGUGGUCUAUAUUCUCAAGAAAAAUCUCGAUCACAUCCAAUACCUUUCGUGUCUUAUUAUAAUUCUAAGGGCGUGGAACAGGAUUUAAACAUACGUGUAGGUCAUAAAAACAAUUAAAAGCGAAGUAAAUUUUCAUGAGUCAUAAAGAUCAUAAUAAUUACAUCCAGUUGGAAGAGGUUUAUGGACUCCUCUCAAAAAGGAAAGGAGAAACGACAGGAUUGUAGCAAAACAUGUCAAGUUGCCAGGAUACAAAACAACAAAAGACUUUUUCUCUUUUCAAAAGAUCACAACCUCCAAAGGUGCUAGCCUAGUCUAGGGUAAAACUACAACCUCUAUUCCUCGAGUGAAGUCAAACCAUCUCAAUCUGUGAAACCCUCACUACUAGGACCCCGUUCAUAGCCAUUAGUACUAAUUACUCCCAUCUGGCACUUGAUCGCUUUGCGGUGGACCUAGUUGGCUAUUGAGUACUUCCUCUUUUUAAAAGUUUUAGGGCAAUCUGAAAUCCUAUGCUUGGUACUACCGCACCCCAGACACUUUCCUUGCUUCAUCCAGCACUCGGCCUCAACGUGGUUAACCUUGCCGCAGUAUCCACAAUGUGCAUGAGAAGUGGCGGCUUGGUCAGUUCGAGGCUUUUCUUUGCAUUUCUUCUCUAAUCCUACAUUUUGGCGUAGUAAUUCAAUUUUCUCUGCAUAUUCUUGUUUCCACCGUUCUUCCCAGUAGUCAGCUAAUUUCCUUUGAAAUUCUACCUCGUUUCGAAGAAGGUUCAAUUCCUUACGCAUUUCUUCCAAAAUUGUCAUCUUACCAGUUGGCUUAAGUCAAAUGCUAACCUGUCAGGCAAAUCGAAGGAUCAAAAGAGUAGCCAUGCAUAAUGGAAGUUCGAGCCAGAUUACUCUUUCAUUCUUUUGUUUAUAGGGCACCCCGAAAUAUAAAUCUUAGUUGUUCUCUGCCGAACAUGGGUGAGUUCUUAAGUCUCCAUAAAAUUACUACCAUUAAUUCCAAUUACAACCAGAUACGGGGACUCUAUUCCUUGAUAUAAAGUUUUUCGUGUCUUACUUCAAUCUUCGAUAUUUGUCUAUGAAGUUUGUUCGAAAAGAGAUCAAAAUCUCGCAGUCCCAUUAGUGCCUUAUGUAUCUUUUCAAAUCAAUCUUACUGUUUCAAGGUUAGGUCCCCUGUGAAACCUAGAUAGACGACCUCCAAGAAUCAUUUCAUUUUCACACCUCUCCUGGUCCUUAGGUUGGCUUAUUGGUCCGGAGCUUUGGUACUCAACCAACUGUUCUAGGAUAUCAGUCGUAUGGUCAAUAGUAGAAGCUAUGUAAGUGUUCUCCUUUAUUUCUAGGGUUUCGGUUCAAUCCAGCAAUCGUUCCCUAACUAUCCCCUGGAGCUUGGGGUGGUCUAACCCCCUCGCCCUCAAUCCCUUUUUGCUUAUUUGGUCACUCGUAACUUUAACAGUCAUAUAAACAUGGUAUGAAAUGAACGCACCCAAACGAAGUUUGAAAGUGAGACUUUGAUCAUGCUAAACAAAUAUGAGAAUAAAAGGGAAAACGCUGAGAUAAUCGUAAAUACGUAUAACCCCAAUCAUGGAUUUGAAAUCAUAAAGUAGUAAGGUUAAACAUGUCAUGAGAAAUGUUUAAUUGCCUUAAAAGGUAGAAACAUAUUGAAACAAGAUACAAAAUACAACGGCCUUUAAGCGAGCGUCACCCUGUCUAUCUUUGGCAAAACUAUUAAAAUAGUUUAAAUCGCUAAAUUAGUGAUUGGCAGAACCCAAAAGUCUUCACUACCUCCCUAGGAUCAGUUUCAUUUCCAGCACUAGGAGUUUUAGAUCUCAGGUCCCUUAUCAAAUAUCUUGUCAUUCUCCACUCAUUCAACCAAGGUAACACACCUAGCCACCGACUCAUCCAUUCUGUCUUUAAUUUCGGCACUAACCUAACAAGUCGGUUCUUAGCUUUUAAAGCUUCUCACUAAGAGCCUUUGUCUCCCUCGCUCCAGAAGUACUUCAACUUCAAUUUCAGGAAUUCUAGUAGUCUAGGCAUCCGCAAUUGUCCUCAGUUCUCGAUCAUCCCUUCGAAUCACUCCAUUUUCUUCGGAUAGCCACUUCAAAUGAUCGACCACUAUUAACACCCCACUAUUUGGGCUCGGGCAAGUCCUUUGGAAUUCACAUGAAGUCCUAGUCCAGUAAAUCGGACCAUUUCUCCAAUGCUCUUUUAGUUCACUCUCUCGAUAGUGGACCACCGGAAGGCGCCCCCGAGACAAUUUAAUAUCACCAUUACCUUCUGUAGUUUACACUUAAGAGUAAAAGAUUAGGUAGGUCCAGAUACACGAAAUAAACAAGAUUUGAUCACUUCAUACUAUCCCACAUGUAUCACACCAUAUCAAGACUCCUUGUCAUCCACUAAUUCGAACUUAGGUUCUAAUUUUUCAUUUUCACAAGCAGUCACUUAACUUUCAAUCAAAUUCCACAGUCCGGCAUCCUAAACAUUUAAGCCUAUGAUACACUACAGAGAUGUAAAGCCUAAGCUCUGAUACCAACUGUGACGCCCCCACUUCUCCCUAAGGCGCACCAAAGGGUAUCCGCGGAACGCCUGCCUAGCUCUCGCCAGGACUCAAGCAAUAAACGUUCAAGCUUAAAGCGAUACUAGAUACCACAAUCAAAUUAGUGCAAAUACAUAUAGUGCGGAAACGUUCAUGCUUAACAAUAUCCAUACAGUUCUCAGGGUCACAUCACAAGGUACCUAUCAGCUUGCCACCCGCACGUCGUGCGUUCAUAAUACAACUUAAAUUUCAAAAUAUACACCCCAUAUAUCCGAAUGAUAUAUUAAACUUCCAAAAGUACAAUCAUAAAGGGGUCGAGCCAAAAUACACUUGAAACCCUAAAACACAAUAUAUCUAAAAGGAGAUUUCUCCGCGUUAACUCCAUUUCCAGUCCUGUUAAGGAAAACAAAUCUACAGGGUGAGCAAAACGCUCGUGAGGCCAAGAACACACAUGCAAGCACUUUGUUCAAAUAGCAAUCCCAAAUUCAUUAAACAAAACCGUAACAAGUCAGUUUUGUUAUGAAUCUUUGAAAAAUCGUAACUCACUCGGUACAAGUCGAGAAUUGGAAAACUUUAUACCGUUGGAAACCUCUUAGAAAGUACUAUAAGUUCCUAGAAGACACUUUUCCAUGAAUCGAAGUGGAAAGUGCUCAAAAAUGAGCUUGAAGGUACAGAAUUGGUUCACAAGGCAGAAUGAAGUUGGAUUUUGGCCAACUUUGAAAAUUCUGCACGAUUCGUACGUUGCAAACCAGCCUCUGAAAUUUGUCACUCAAGUAGUGUUGCAAGUGAAGUUUAUAACAAAACAAGCGGAUCAAGAAUCGGAGUUUCGAGUACCGAGAUACGGUAGCUCAAAGUUAGGCAAAUUCAAGACUGGAGAAGAAUUUCCAGAUUUGAACCUCCAACACUAGAAAUUUAAUUAGGUAUCGAAACGAACUUGGAUUGAUACCAAAAUUGGCAGUAUUUCGAUACUAUAUGGAAGGUAUCUCUCUGUCAAAUUUCAGGGAGAAAUACCCUCGGGAAGGUGGUCAACUAAUCACCCAAAGUUCCGGAAAAUUCCUAAGGCAAUCUGCCUUUUGACUUUCAUUUUCCAAAUUCAAAUCGUUUAACCAAGAAAGCUAUCCAACCAUGGUUCAUUUGUGAAAUAAAGGUCUAAGAUACAACCAUGAUACCUUUGGUAAUGGUUUAGCAUCAAAAUUUCAAUUAAUAAGAUUACUCACGGGUUUUUGUCCGAAACCAGUCCAAAUAAUACGUUUUUCCAAAACAGGGCAGUCCUCUUAUUUUGGUCACAACUCAGUCAAUUUAGCUUGGAAUUGAGAGUGGUUUAUGGCGUUGGAAAAUAAAUUCAUAGGACUAAAAGUUCACAGAAGAAAUCGUUUCAAAAUUUGGCAAGCAACCAGCUCGAAAUUGAGCCUCAAGUUGCUGCCUCUACAGACCAUUCCAGCAGUUCCGAGAAACAGGACAGUGAUCUUAAAACGUUUGGUCCGGCUCACUCACAAAGAAUCAGAACAUGCAUUUUAUCUCAAAUUAAAGCCUGGGAUGUCUAGUUUCAAACGCCACUGACGGCACAUGAUUUCGACAUCCGAGGACAGAGUUAUAGUCGAAAUACCACAGCUGGUCUGAGCCAUACGGGAACAGUUUCCAGAUUUGCUAGUUUCCCAAAAAAAUUCAUUUGCCCAACCAAACCUUAUUAUUUUUCAAUGAAACUUUUCACACAUCUAAUAUAACAUAUAAGCAUCAGGUUCAUGCCAAUAAUUCACCAAAAAUUGGCCUUAUAGUGGCCGAACAAAACAGGGGUAUUUUCGGAAAUUUUUGCUUCUUGCACCCAAUGAAGUUUCUAUCAAUUACCCACCACUAAUCCAUCAUUUUAACCACUAAACCAACAAUAUAACCACCAUCAAUCAUCAAAUCAGCAACAACCCAAGUGUGGGAAUCCAUAGAGCCCACUUUUCAAAUUUUACACCAAUGUCAAGACACCCAUACACAUGCAAUAGCUUAAAGAUGCAUUUCUACCAUCAUAAUCCAAGUUUAAGGUGUAGGAUGAUGUUAUACCUCCUUGGUGUCUUAAACCAGAAAUUUUCGGUCCUCUAGUGCUCCAAGAAACCGUGAAAAACUCCUCCUUUUGCUAGCUAGAUGAACUCUCCAAGCAACAAACUAAGUGUAGUUCAAAUUUGGUGUGAAUCUAUGAAGGUUUUGUGCAAGAAUUGAAGAUGAAAAUGGCAACUUUGUGUUGUGUUUUUGCUGCAGAGAAUUCGGCCAAGAGAGAGACUAAGAG